UAUCUUUCCAACACACUAGUACUAACGUUAUGUGCAUCUGUAUGUGUGUGUGUGUAUGUUUGUUUGUGUGUCUGAGUCGAUAGCUACGUCGGAUGGUUUGUGCCUUCGCUAAAGUUGCGGAAAACCUUUUUCCCGGAAAAUUUCCCGACAUCUCUUUCACCACUCUCGUGGAAAUUUCGAAAAUUUCCCUUUUUCACCUCUGAUAAGAGGUUUUUUCACCGGCACAAAAACAAAUGCACAGGCGUUAAGCACGACCUGUGGUAAGAAUGCGACAACCUAUCCUGCAACACAAAUCAUCCCUUGUCAUUGACGGCAAACCUUGGAUUUGUUUGUCAAUUUUAAGCACUGUUGCAUUAAGCGAAGGGAGACAGGCUAUGCCGGGUAGCUUGUCAACGGUGAUUUAAGAUUGGGAUCGGAGGUUUUUGUUAUGAUCUCGUCAGCUGAGUUUGAGAAGGACGAAGAAAAUUUUACUGGAUGUUGAGAAUUGAAUGCCUGUAUAUGUAUUGCAUGAAUUUAAUCAUCGUUCUUUAUGUUUGUAGAGCGUUUAAAGGAAAAUUGUUUUUUUUUGACCUUAUUUCGUUACUAGAAGAAUAAACUUGUUGAUUUUCAGACUGUGAACCACUUAUGAAUUGAUCAGCACGAUCGGUUUAGUUACAUACAAACAAAUUUAGUUUGUGUUUAUUUUUUUUACAGAUUUUACGUUAAACUUCUAUUAAUCUCCAACAUAUCUUAUUACCCGUCAGAUAAAUCUCCAUCGCAUAAUUGAACUCCAAUGAUCACUAAACCAUCCUAUUAGAUAGCAAUGAAAAAGCUAAGGAAGCUAAAACUAGUGUUCUAUUAAGGUAAAGCUAGGAGAAACAAGCAGUAGUAAAAGAGCAGCAAUAAGGAUGAGCAAUUCCAAAUUCUUUCCUACUUACCUUCAUUCUUACCUAUUUUCCAUGUUAUAUUACCAGUGUUUUAUGGUGUGGAAACUAUGUCGCCUUAUGUCUUAUGAUACUACAAUCUUAUACUUCCUUGAGAACGGAACUGUUGCUCUAAAACACUGACUUUAAUGAUUAUAAGAUUUGUACGCAUAUACUAAUGUUGUGUUAGGGCGCUUUUUUGACUUAGCUAAGCCCUGUUGGAAUGCUUGUUACGAAUAAAAAGGGGAUUAAGAUACAAAGGGCUAAAAAUGUGAAUUUUCAGAACAUAUUUGUGCAAGUAAUUUUUGUAGCUAUUUUUACAAAUUCUCAUGCUGUAGCUCGCUUGCAAAUAUUUUUUUUCUUUUUCGCUAGGUAAGACAAGCACUUUGAGAGUCAACACAACAACGUUCACAUUAACUUCUCAUUGCUUUUGUGCCGGAUAUUUAAAUGGUUUGGGUUGCCAAUAGACAUUUUCUUGCCGAAUUGUCUGUGCAUAUGUAUUUUUCUACGAUACCGAUUGAGUCGAUUGUAGCAAUGGGUUAAUGCAAUUAUCAUUUUCUUCUAUCUAUAGUUUGCCACCUACGUAUUCAAACACAUGCAUGUUUAGCAUUUGCCCACUCACCCCCUAGAAUUACAACCGGCUAAAGUUUACAAACACUAUCUCAUGCGUCCGAUCCACCACACCAACACUUUGACAUGUAGCUUCCAUUCAAUUUCUUUGUCACAUAAAACGUAUCUGCGGUUGCCUGGAGCCGCUCGUUCCGCUCAUCCUACGUUUAAAACUCUCACACACACACACAUACACACACACACCUCACCAAACGCCACCACGUUUUGUGUUAGUGUGCGUGUCAUACCGUGGCUUGCUUACAUAUUCACAUACACCACCAAGAAAUAUGUAACUCGCACACCAGCUCAAUCCUAUCUACCACAUGAUGGUUGGUGUAUUGUAUUUACUUUGCGAACGUUUAGCUGCAAACGACAAAGGGGGUCAUGUUUUUCACUACUGAACAUUUUCCGCCUGCAGCCAUAGUAAGGGACCAACGUGUAGACCAUCUGACUAGGGCUCGUGUCUGGGACAGUUUUUCACCAAAACGUGUUCGAACGUUGCCGGGAAAACAUCGUUGUUACAAGGAACAUCAACCAUCGUUCGUGCAAAAUACAAGUCUUUGGAGUUUUGGGACGCACAGGUCCCAUGGUGUCGUGUGGAACAUAUUUGGUUCGGAUAUCGAGACUCAUUCAUCUCUAACUCUAGAAAAACACAACGUUAUAAACGUCAGACAUAGCCUGAUACUUGGCAAUGCUACUGCAGAACAAUAUAAGUUGCCUCCAGUUGCAUCACCAGUGGAAACCCUUUGGAACGUCGAUAACGUCGAGCUAACAACUGGGACGCACACAAUCUAAUCGUUAUGAUGCGAAAAGUUCAAACAAGCACUAGAAAACCAGAAACAUCUCUACAGAGAAUCAAUCGAGCUUUAAGAGGAAAGUAAAUUGUGAACUUUUUAAAUAUGAACAUGUGUUUCUCGAUCGUGUGUCCUAAAGACUGUGAAAGGCAAGAAAAUUUCCCAAAACAAAACCCCUAGAGGACAUCAUCCAGCUACAAUACAUUCAUGUGAGUAUAAAAUUAUAAAAAAAUAUUGUCUAUCUCAUACCUUGGAAUACAUUAUAAAACACUUGGUGUACUCAGCGUCUGGUGUCAGACCUUCAGUCCAGGUGCUGUUCCAAUUGCCUACGCGAGGCCCAUAAAAUUCGUCUGCAAUUGCAGACGGGUGUUGUUGUCUAAAACACACUGUCAGUUCAUCAAAAACAAUGCGGCACAGCAUACUGUCGCUGCUUCCACCUGUCUUCCUCACUAACACAUCAACAAAAAGCAUGUGGCGGGAUCAGGCAUUGACACGAGCCUUUAAACAAUUUCGAACCCUUGCAAACUUGCCAUCUCAUUCUACCGUACACUCAACCUUUCAUUCAUUCAUUCAUUCAUUUCCCCAUACAUCUAUCAACUCCCUUUCAUUAGUAUUUCGCCCACCGUGUUGAUAUAAGGCAUCUAAGCCUCGCGUUUCAGAGCAUGCGAGAACAUACUAAUGUAGCAAAUCAGUGAGAGAAUGUGCUGCGUGCGUGCGUGCGCCCGUGCGUGUUUACAUGUCAGCUGGUGAUCUGUCAUUUAUUCGUUCGCAGCGCAGUUUCGCCAUUAUGACCUGCUCCCAUCUCCUGCAUCACUCAGCUUUAAUUCAUUCGCAUCAUCUAUUCGUAGCGUAGAACAUUUUGUUUUUCUUUGACAUGUGUACUGGUCUAAGAAGGAUAGCAGGUAAACUUUUUAUUUAUCCUAAUGCAUGUGUGUUUAUUUCUCUUGAAUGGAAGCGCAUGUGGAACAAAAAGUUUUACCAAAAUAAAGCUCUUCUCAGACACUAAACCCACCGUGCCAGAUAGCUUUCAUAACACUCGAUUGCCUAUGAAACUAUUGAUGGAUAAUUGUUUUCCAUACAUGCCACUACACUAACAAUGUAGGAAUGCUGAAGCUUACCAGCACUGCGCGUUACACCCAAGCACGUUCAGUAAUUGCCAAAUUGAAAGGCAACAAUAAAAACCGAUAGCAAAGAUAGCAGAAUAUUUCGAACAAGGGCUGUUCCUUGGAAACUUCUUUCGCUUGCUGCUGUGGCUACCUCUCCUUUACAAGAAAGAAGAAAAUUUUCUCUCUCUCGGGUUUCGAUGUCCCACAACUACAAUCACGCACAGCUACAUACCCACAAAAAAAAACGGGAAUUGUGCAUGUAAAUGCUGUAAAAUCCGAAAUAGCGGCGAGAACCUGUUUUGUUGCUAUAAAAAUUGCUCUUUUUCAUUUCUUUACAUUACGCUGCUCCAGCGCCUGGUCUUAUGGUAGGCAGCGCAGGGAAACUAGUUACGAGAAGCGAGGAGGACGGUAAUAAGGUUCGCUUUUCGUCUUGCAUGUAUUGUGAUGGUAUUUGGAGUUGGAUUUUGUUCUGCUUUUUUCGUUCUUCUUCGUAUCGUAUUGCAGAAUAUUCCUACAUUAUCGCGUUGGGCCAAAGAAAUCAGAAUACCCUCCGCAUACAGAAGAUAGCGAAUAGUAGAUAGUCUAAAGAUGCGAUGUGGGUGUUAAAUUUGCAUAAGUAUGGAGAUGCCAUCGCUUGAUUCGCUCAGGAGGACGUUUGUGAGCGUGUGCAGUGUCUUCAUUUUGAGCAUAAUGCAGCUCCACGCUGUUUUGGAAAGAGUAAAGUAAGGUAUAAAAGAUUGUGGUGAUAGAACAUCAGUAUCCCAGAACAAUAAGAACAAUAAAAAUACUAAUCAAUAAAAGGCGGUUCAUGCUAACGAUUGUUUGGAAUCUAUAUCGCAACUAUACUAGAUCCGAUACAUAGCAUGUAUUAACACAUUUUGCACUUUGUAUCAAGUUGAAAAUAUUUACCAGCGUUUCAUUAUUGAUCCUAAACUAAAGUAGCAAUGUAAUGACAAGAUUAAAUGUUAUACAUUGCAAUACGAACACUUGGUUUGCAAUAUGUAAAAUUUUAUCUUAACUUUACUUAGCUACUUUAGUUUUGUUGUUCUACGCAAAGGGGAUCCUGGUCUAAACAAAAUUGGGAUCCACCGCAGAUUUGUUAAGCAGUUGCUUAUUGAAUGGACUGCAAGAAUAAGCUGAACAAUUAGUAAUCUUUUUUAACUAUAUUUGCAUAAUCUUUAAUUGAACCUUUUUGAACCUCUGUCGAGUUGAGCCAAUAUAACAGAUGACUAAGCGGCACUUUGUAAAGUAAAGCACAAAUAACCUUCUUUUGAAUCAGCUUUGCAGGUAAUAACAGCUUUGAAUCGUCAGCUCCAUAUUACAAUACUAAAAUUGUAUCGGAAGCGUGUUGCGAAAGGUAUAGUUGAGAUUUGAACGAGUUAUUUGAAUACUUGAGCAAUGCUUUUGUUUAAAGUUACGCUCGCAAAAAAAAACACUCUUACCCGCACAUAAAUGACCAUAGGUUCAAGGUUUUCCAGAGAGCAUUUUUACGUGCCGCGCCGAACAGAGGUGAGAGAAAGAGCGUUAUAACUGGUCUGAGAAUGAGGCAGGAAAGUAAAUAAGCAGAAAACAGAAAAGAAAUGGGGAGCCAAAGGUACGUUGGUAUUCCGUACGAGAGCCGAAAACAUUUGACUCCCAACAUUCUCGGCACAACCUAUCAAAUCUAACAUUAUUACACACUCGAGGAAAAUCCUGAACCCGUUCGAUACACUCUGCAAGAAAGAUCCCUAAGGGCAGCGACUGAUAAAUCGAAUUGGCGCAAACAGCACCAAGCAACCCAUUUCUGCAACGAGAAGGUAUGGGAUAAACGGAUCGACAGGCGAAUCGACGACGAACGAAUUAAGAACUGAAUACAAGCAUCAAUGACAUUUCGUCGGGACAAGAAAACCCCAGUAAAGUGUGUUGCGUCCAUGGUACCGCUCCACGUUGCGCUACUCCCGAACCCGAAACACUGCCAACACUGGUAACGUCGACGUUCGCAUCAUGAGAACGAUUUCGUUCCGUUUCAUCAAUUGGUCCAUUUUGUUUCGGCUGAUGUCGUGCAUUCUUCUUUUUUUUUCAAUUUCAAACCCAACGCUAUGUGUGCACAUCUGGCUACUUCAAACGAUCGAGUGUAACCCUUCGAAUGAUAUGACAGAAUGUUCAUGGUGCUCGAAAUCGUCAAAUCUUCUUGCCCACCUAAGCUGUGAAAGGUAAAUUUGAGUAUAUUUAAAAUAUUUUAUUUGCAGACUCACUCACUCCCUCACUCCCAACAGAGGAGCGGCAAUUGUUCUUCGCCGAAAUAGGUGCCAUUAUUUGUUUCCAAGGCAAUGAAGAUUAUGGGUGAGCCUUGUAACUAUAGUACAAAAUCUUUUCAUAAUGUUUUUACUCUAAAGUAGUGUAUCCCAUGUUUGGGUUACUUUCUCUAAUGAGAUAUGCUCCCUGUGCACGUAUUUUAUUAUCUUCCGUAUAAUUUUAUGUAAGUGUUUGGCGAUAUAUUAUACAGCAUAUUUUACAAUCAACUGCAAGACUUCUUUACUUAAGAAGCUUUGAAAUAGCAAACCAAAGACGAUGCUUGUGAGACUCACAGGUGGCCGGGCAUCUGGUAUUAUAACGUUUCAUAAUUUCUGUACACAUAUUGGUAGACACUCUGGAUCGUAGAAGGAAGCUGUGCGCGAGCUGUAGAAGGGGACCAAAAAAUGAAAAAAGGAAAAAACAUUCAACGACCACUAGCGGAUGAAAUGAAUCGACGGCGGCAGGCGAGAGGCGACCAUCCCAAUCGAGAUUUUCUUCAGUUCCUGUUUCCGACAUCACCGCCGGUCGUCAAAGAUCCCACUUAACGCCAAAAGCGCACGCGCGCUGGGGCGCUUAGAGGUGUGCGUGCUGACUCACAUAAUCAUUUCCGAAUUCUUUCUCUCCAGCAGUAUUUGGACAGUCUUCCGUCGCACUCUCUCCUGGCAUCCAGUCAGCAGCUGGGGUGAUUUUGAUAGCCCGAGAGAGCAAAGCCCGCUCUUUCUGUGUGUGUGUUUUUUAUUGAUGAAGCUGAACCUUUGUCAAUUGCCGGUAGCUACUUCUGCCGCUAUUGUGGUGUAGCGUUUUCGGUCGUCUCUCGCAGCGUUUUGGUGCGGACAGUGUAUGCAACACGCUACACUCUCACAACCUAGCCACACGGCCAACAGAACACAUCGUCGUCAUCUUUAACGCCAUCGCAGCGGGCCACUCGACUGCUCUCGUUGUCAUCAGGAUCGUUCCUGUGAUUGCUGCUCAUACUCACCCCCAGUUUCUACAACACUUGUGUUCGGUUGUUACGGCUGUAUGAUGUGAUUUUGUUUUCUACAGUUUCCACAGUACAGUACACGGUAUCAGUGAAACCAAAUCGCAAUAUCUGAAUGAACCGAGCCGCUCACAAACGUUUGUGUGUGAAAUAAAACUUGGACAUAUUGAGCACAGUUCAGUGGAACAAUGUGUAGAUUUCUUCUGUUGGUUAGAUUAAAACAAUACUUUUUUUUACAAUUUGUGCACUUCUUUUUACACUACCGAUUUCGCAAAUAUGAAGACCUCGGAGAAAAGUAAAGUUAGUGUGGUGAAUAUAUGUAUAUAAUUGUAUACACAUAUAUAAAUGGCUACCGUUCAAGUCAGUGCUCCUUUAUCAGUUUACCAUGUGAUUCUGAGUGUUGUUCUAGUGCAGCUUCAUGAACGUAUACUGAAUGUAUCCUGAGUGCUACUUAUCCGGUAUACCUUCAGUAUACGUAACAAGAGGCGACACAAUCAUCGUUGCUGUUGGUGUUUCCUGGCGAAGUGUUGUACAAUCGUUGACACCUUGAAUUGUUGAACACAUUACAAGUGAAUUUAUUACGUCGUCAAUAUACAUACACCAACAAGAUAAAUACUGGUAUCGAUGGAUACCAGCGUAAGUAUCCCAUUCUGCUGACAUUCUGCGUUUGUACCAUUGUCUUGUCUCUAGCUCCACAGGUAUCAGUCGGGUGGCGUUUUUCAAUCGUGUGUGCGUAUCUGGAAAAUGUGAAACGCUACCGGGACAGGUCGGAACACAGACAAGACACAUUAUGCACAUCAUAACAAAUCAUGAAGGUCGCUUAAAGAUGAAGCAUAGUAGAAAUGAGAAAUGAUAUUGCGUUCAAAACCUCAGAGCCGUCCCGGAUUCAGAGAGGAAAAGUGAGAGAGUGAGAAAGCGAGCAAGCAUAGUCAAUAGUAGAGUUAGAAAAGAAAGCAGAGGGCACGUUUUCAUAGCCAAGAGUAGCAAAGGCGAACACUAGUAGGUUGUGGCGAGCAUAGCCAAGUCUGUCAAUCGGAAGAUUUUAUUGCGGUUGCCUAUAAGGUAUUAGUAGAAAAAUUGAAACUACAUAUAAUUUAGCAAGGUAGCUCUGAAACAAUGUCUAUGCAUAUUUCUUCAUAGAGUUCACAACUAGUGUGAAGCAGAACCAUUGCCGUUAUCCUAGCCCAGAGAUCAUCGCGUUCAAUGAGAAAUUUUCAACUGACAGGCGCACUGACGAAGGUUUGCCAACUCUUACGCACGCACACAGCUUCGAGAAUAUAAGCUCGUUUUUUUGUUUUGUUAUCCUUACUGUACUGGCGGCAGACUACAAUAUCAAAUAAACUACUGCCUUUCGGUCCCUUGAGAUACGUUGGUGAAAUGAAUAUGUAAUGUUAUAUUAAUAUUAAAUUUUUGUUGGAAUAAAGCUUUUUGUGGAAUACAUAACACCAAA
Anopheles stephensi (Asian malaria mosquito) is the source of this 8114-nucleotide long non-coding RNA. RefSeq lists it as uncharacterized. The record is from RefSeq and is a predicted model, not a curated record. NCBI's taxonomy places the organism in Eukaryota, Metazoa, Arthropoda, Insecta, Diptera, Culicidae. The transcript has 2 exons.